This 253-nucleotide ribosomal RNA is filed under the name uncultured bacterium. Its description in RNAcentral is "partial 16S ribosomal RNA". It matches the Rfam family "Bacterial small subunit ribosomal RNA", at positions 524 to 776 of the family's 1533-position model. The record is from RNAcentral.
UACAGAGGGGGCAAGCGUUAUUCGGAAUUAUUGGGCGUAAAGGGCGCGUAGGCGGCCUGACAAGUGGAAGGUGAAAUCCCUCGGCUUAACCGAGGAACUGCCUUCCAAACUGUUUGGCUUGAGUCCGGGAGAGGCGAGUGGAAUUCCCAGUGUAGCGGUGAAAUGCGUAGAUAUUGGGAGGAACACCGGUGGCGAAGGCGGCUCACUGGACCGGUACUGACGCUGAGACGCGAAAGCCAGGGGAGCAAACGGG